RNAcentral lists this ribosomal RNA (409 nucleotides) under uncultured bacterium. RNAcentral describes it as "bacterial SSU rRNA". It matches the Rfam family "Bacterial small subunit ribosomal RNA", at positions 30 to 438 of the family's 1533-position model. The record is from RNAcentral.
AUUGAACGCUGGCGGCAGGCCUAACACAUGCAAGUCGAGCGGUAGAGAGGUGCUUGCAUCUCUUGAGAGCGGCGGACGGGUGAGUAAUGCCUAGGAAUCUGCCUAGUGGUGGGGGAUAACGUUCGGAAACGGACGCUAAUACCGCAUACGAUCUACGGAUGAAAGCGGGGGAUCGCAAGACCUCGCGCGAUUGGAGCGGCCGAUAUCAGAUUAGGUAGUUGGUGAGGUAAAGGCUCACCAAGCCGACGAUCUGUAGCUGGUCUGAGAGGACGACCAGCCACACUGGGACUGAGACACGGCCCAGACUCCUACGGGAGGCAGCAGUGGGGAAUUUUGGACAAUGGGCGCAAGCCUGAUCCAGCAAUGCCGCGUGCAGGAUGAAGGCCUUCGGGUUGUAACGUAGCUUUUG